Molecule: long non-coding RNA, 197 nt
Filed under: Cyanistes caeruleus (blue tit)
Lineage: Eukaryota; Metazoa; Chordata; Aves; Passeriformes; Paridae
Description: lncRNA (ENSCCEG00000001668.1)
Source: RNAcentral
AUGAGGUUAGCAACAAGAGCUAGAGGUGACUACUUCUCUUCUUGCAGCCAGAAUGACUUCCUUUGGAGUUAUCUCACCUGUGGCAGUGGAGGGAGCAGGGGCUUAGUGGGGCCCUCUCAUCAACUGGUGAGGAGGGGAUCUGCUUUGGAAUCAGCACGGCUGUAUUGACAAAGGCUACGGGAACAUUGGCCUACGUG